GGGUGAGUAACACGUAUCCAACCUGCCCUUUACUCGGGGAUAGCCUUUCGAAAGAAAGAUUAAUACCCGAUAGCAUAAUGAUUCCGCAUGGUUUCAUUAUUAAAGGAUUCCGGUAAAGGAUGGGGAUGCGUUCCAUUAGGUUGUUGGUGAGGUAACGGCCCACCAAGCCUUCGAUGGAUAGGGGUUCUGAGAGGAAGGUCCCCCACAUUGGAACUGAGACACGGUCCAAACUCCUACGGGAGGCAGCAGUGAGGAAUAUUGGUCAAUGGGCGCUAGCCUGAACCAGCCAAGUAGCGUGAAGGAUGAAGGCUCUAUGGGUCGUAAACUUCUUUUAUAUAAGAAUAAAGUGCAGUAUGUAUACUGUUUUGUAUGUAUUAUAUGAAUAAGGAUCGGCUAACUCCGUGCCAGCAGCCGCGGUAAUACGGAGGAUCCGAGCGUUAUCCGGAUUUAUUGGGUUUAAAGGGAGCGUAGGUGGACUGGUAAGUCAGUUGUGAAAGUUUGCGGCUCAACCGUAAAAUUGCAGUUGAUACUGUCAGUCUUGAGUACAGUAGAGGUGGGCGGAAUUCGUGGUGUAGCGGUGAAAUGCUUAGAUAUCACGAAGAACUCCGAUUGCGAAGGCAGCUCACUGGACUGCAACUGACACUGAUGCUCGAAAGUGUGGGUAUCAAACAGGAUUAGAUACCCUGGUAGUCCACACAGUAAACGAUGAAUACUCGCUGUUUGCGAUAUACAGUAAGCGGCCAAGCGAAAGCAUUAAGUAUUCCACCUGGGGAGUACGCCGGCAACGGUGAAACUCAAAGGAAUUGACGGGGGCCCGCACAAGCGGAGGAACAUGUGGUUUAAUUCGAUGAUACGCGAGGAACCUUACCCGGGCUUAAAUUGCAGUGGAAUGAUGUGGAAACAUGUCAGUGAGCAAUCACCGCUGUGAAGGUGCUGCAUGGUUGUCGUCAGCUCGUGCCGUGAGGUGUCGGCUUAAGUGCCAUAACGAGCGCAACCCUUAUCUUUAGUUACUAACAGGUUAUGCUGAGGACUCUAGAGAGACUGCCGUCGUAAGAUGUGAGGAAGGUGGGGAUGACGUCAAAUCAGCACGGCCCUUACGUCCGGGGCUACACACGUGUUACAAUGGGGGGUACAGAAGGCAGCUAGCGGGUGACCGUAUGCUAAUCCCAAAAUCCUCUCUCAGUUCGGAUCGAAGUCUGCAACCCGACUUCGUGAAGCUGGAUUCGCUAGUAAUCGCGCAUCAGCC
RNAcentral lists this ribosomal RNA (1246 nucleotides) under uncultured bacterium. Its description in RNAcentral is "bacterial SSU rRNA". It matches the Rfam family "Bacterial small subunit ribosomal RNA", at positions 104 to 1354 of the family's 1533-position model. The record is from RNAcentral.